UAGUGGCGGACGGGUGAGUAACGCGUGGGUAACCUGCCUCACACUGGGGGAUAACAGUCAGAAAUGACUGCUAAUACCGCAUAAGCGCACGGAGCCGCAUGGCUCAGUGUGAAAAACUCCGGUGGUGUGAGAUGGACCCGCGUUGGAUUAGCCAGUUGGCAGGGUAACGGCCUACCAAAGCGACGAUCCAUAGCCGGCCUGAGAGGGUGGACGGCCACAUUGGGACUGAGACACGGCCCAGACUCCUACGGGAGGCAGCAGUGGGGAAUAUUGCACAAUGGGGGAAACCCUGAUGCAGCGACGCCGCGUGAAGGAAGAAGUAUCUCGGUAUGUAAACUUCUAUCAGCAGGGAAGAAAAUGACGGUACCUGACUAAGAAGCCCCGGCUAACUACGUGCCAGCAGCCGCGGUAAUACGUAGGGGGCAAGCGUUAUCCGGAUUUACUGGGUGUAAAGGGAGCGUAGACGGAGCAGCAAGUCUGAUGUGAAAGGCGGGGGCUCAACCCCCGGACUGCAUUGGAAACUGUUGAUCUUGAGUACCGGAGAGGUAAGCGGAAUUCCUAGUGUAGCGGUGAAAUGCGUAGAUAUUAGGAGGAACACCAGUGGCGAAGGCGGC
RNAcentral lists this ribosomal RNA (614 nucleotides) under uncultured Lachnospiraceae bacterium. RNAcentral's name for it is "bacterial SSU rRNA". It matches the Rfam family "Bacterial small subunit ribosomal RNA", at positions 93 to 725 of the family's 1533-position model. The record is from RNAcentral. Lineage: Bacteria; Bacillati; Bacillota; Clostridia; Lachnospirales; Lachnospiraceae.